UCCAGGCAAAAAAGGGCAUCCCGGCGAACCAAAAAAAAAAUGAAUGAAAAGGUUCGGGCAAAAGUUAGGGGUAAAGAAUAAAAAUAAUAUGUACACCCGGUAAGUCGAAAACCUGCAAAGGCGACUUAGGCAAAAAUGGGUAUCCCGGUGGAUUGAAAACUUGAAAAGGCGGUCCAGGAAAAAGAGGGAUUAAAGCGAAGACUACAGUCUG
RNAcentral lists this long non-coding RNA (211 nucleotides) under Lathyrus oleraceus (garden pea). RNAcentral describes it as "Pisum sativum (pea) long non-coding RNA (PSAT_LNC037234)". The record is from RNAcentral. Lineage: Eukaryota; Viridiplantae; Streptophyta; Magnoliopsida; Fabales; Fabaceae.